UAGCGAAUCUUCCGCAAUGGACGAAAGUCUGACGGAGCAACGCCGCGUGAGUGAAGAAGGAUUUCGGUUCGUAAAACUCUGUUGUUAGGGAAGAAAAAAUGUAUAGUAACUAUAUACAAAAGAGACGGUACCUAACCAGAAAGCCACGGCUAACUACGUGCCAGCAGCCGCGGUAAUACGUAGGUGGCAAGCGUUGUCCGGAAUUAUUGGGCGUAAAGCGCGCGCAGGUGGUUUAGAAAGUCUGAUGUGAAAGCCCACGGCUCAACCGUGGAGGGUCAUUGGAAACUAAUAAACUUGAGUGCAGGAGAGAAAAGUGGAAUUCCUAGUGUAGCGGUGAAAUGCGUAGAGAUUAGGAGGAACACCGGUGGCGAAAGCGGCUUUUUGGCCUGCAACUGACACUGAGGCGCGAAAGCGUGGGGAGCAAACAGG
Molecule: ribosomal RNA, 429 nt
Filed under: Verrucomicrobiota bacterium
Lineage: Bacteria; Pseudomonadati; Verrucomicrobiota
Description: Verrucomicrobia bacterium partial 16S ribosomal RNA
Rfam family: Bacterial small subunit ribosomal RNA
Source: RNAcentral